Molecule: ribosomal RNA, 497 nt
Filed under: uncultured bacterium
Lineage: Bacteria
Description: partial 16S ribosomal RNA
Rfam family: Bacterial small subunit ribosomal RNA
Source: RNAcentral
GAUGAACGCUGGCGGCGUGCCUAAUACAUGCAAGUCGAGCGAACGGACGAGAAGCUUGCUUUUCUGAUGUUAGCGGCGGACGGGUGAGUAACACGUGGAUAACCUACCUAUAAGACUGGGAUAACUUCGGGAAACCGGAGCUAAUACCGGAUAAUAUUUUGAACCGCAUGGUUCAAAAGUGAAAGACGGUCUUGCUGUCACUUAUAGAUGGAUCCGCGCUGCAUUAGCUAGUUGGUAAGGUAACGGCUUACCAAGGCAACGAUGCAUAGCCGACCUGAGAGGGUGGUCGGCCCCCCUGGAACUGAGACACGGUCCAGACUCCUACGGGAGGCAGCAGUAGGGAAUCUUCCGCAAUGGGCGAAAGCCUGACGGAGCAACGCCGCGGGAGUGAUGAAGGUCUUCGGAUCGUAAAACUCUGUUAUUAGGGAAGAACAUAUGUGUAAGUAACUGUGCACAUCUUGACGGUACCUAAUCAGAAAGCCACGGCUAACUACGUG